This 228-nucleotide ribosomal RNA is filed under the name uncultured prokaryote. Its description in RNAcentral is "partial 16S ribosomal RNA". It matches the Rfam family "Bacterial small subunit ribosomal RNA", at positions 355 to 576 of the family's 1533-position model. The record is from RNAcentral.
UGGGGAAUAUUGCACAAUGGGCGCAAGCCUGAUGCAGCCAUGCCGCGUGUAUGAAGAAGGCCUUCGGGUUGUAAAGUACUUUCAGCAGUGAGGAAGGGGUGUCGUUAAUAGCGGCAUCUCUUGACGUUAGCUGCAGAAGAAGCACCGGCUAACUCCGUGCCAGCAGCCGCGGUAAUACGGAGGGUGCGAGCGUUAAUCGGAGUUACUGGGCGUAAAGCGCAUGCAGGU